RNAcentral lists this ribosomal RNA (515 nucleotides) under uncultured bacterium. RNAcentral describes it as "partial 16S ribosomal RNA". It matches the Rfam family "Bacterial small subunit ribosomal RNA", at positions 28 to 523 of the family's 1533-position model. The record is from RNAcentral.
GAUGAACGCUGGCGGCGUGCCUAAUACAUGCAAGUCGAGCGAAUGGAUUGAGAGCUUGCUCUUAUGAAGUUAGCGGCGGACGGGUGAGUAACACGUGGGUAACCUGCCCAUAAGACUGGGAUAACUCCGGGAAACCGGGGCUAAUACCGGAUAACAUUUUGAACCGCAUGGUUCGAAAUUGAAAGGCGGCUUCGGCUGUCACUUAUGGAUGGACCCGCGUCGCAUUAGCUAGUUGGUGAGGUAGCGGCUCACCAAGGCAACGAUGCGUAGCCGACCUGAGAGGGUGAUCGGCCACACUGGGACUGAGACACGGCCCAGAAUCCUACGGGAGGCAGCAGUAGGGAAUCUUCCGCAAUGGACGAAAGUCUGACGGAGCAACGCCGCGUGAGUGAUGAAGGCUUUCGGGUCGUAAAACUCUGUUGUUAGGGAAGAACAAGUGCUAGUUGAAUAAGCUGGCACCUUGACGGUACCUAACCAGAAAGCCACGGCUAACUACGUGCCAGCCGCCGCGGUAA